CCAGCACCCCGAGUGGUCGGGACGAUUAUUGGGCCUAAAGCAUCCGUAGCCGGUUUUACAAGUCCUCCGUUAAAUCCAACUGCUUAACAGAUGGGCCGCGGAGGAUACUAUAAGACUAGAAGGCAGGAGAGGCAAGCGGUACUCAGUGGGUAGGGGUAAAAUCCGUUGAUCCAUUGAAGACCACCAGUGGCGAAGGCGGCUUGCCAGAAUGCGCUCGACGGUGAGGGAUGAAAGCUGGGGGAGCAAACCGGAUUAGAUACCCGGGUAGUCCCAGCUGUAAACGAUGCAGACUCGGUGAUGGACUAGCUUCAUGCUAGUCCAGUGCCGCAGGGAAGCCGUUAAGUCUGCCGCCUGGGUAGUACGGUCGCAAGACUG
This 375-nucleotide ribosomal RNA is filed under the name uncultured organism. RNAcentral's name for it is "bacterial SSU rRNA". It matches the Rfam family "Archaeal small subunit ribosomal RNA", at positions 476 to 851 of the family's 1478-position model. The record is from RNAcentral.